Drosophila yakuba is the source of this 382-nucleotide long non-coding RNA. RefSeq lists it as uncharacterized. The transcript is spliced from 3 exons. Lineage: Eukaryota; Metazoa; Arthropoda; Insecta; Diptera; Drosophilidae. The record is from RefSeq and is a predicted model, not a curated record.
GCGGGGUGCUGGAUUUGGUGAAGCUUAAGAAGGCCUUUGAAUCUGAUGCCUAUGAGGCGGAGCAGUUGCUACGCAAGGUGGACAUCCAUUCGGUCACUGGCAUUUUGAAGACUUUUCUAAGAGAGCUCCCCGAGGCCCUAUACACGGAUCAGCUAUAUCCACGAUUUUUUGACCCAUUCAGCGCCUUUAGCAACAACAAACAACAACGAGUCCACACGAAUCAACGAGCUUCUCAAAGUUUUUGAGGAGUUGCCACAGGCCAACAAAGCCUCCAUCACUUCGAUAUUAGAUCAUUUAAUAAGAGUCCACGAAAAGGAGGCAGACAACAAGAUCGUGAGCCGUUUACACAGUUACAUAUGGAAAUAUAUAUGUAUCAAAAUUA